RNAcentral lists this transfer RNA (74 nucleotides) under Gracilimonas sp. RNAcentral's name for it is "tRNA-Gly". It matches the Rfam family "tRNA". From Rfam's summary of the family: Transfer RNA (tRNA) molecules are approximately 80 nucleotides in length. Their secondary structure includes four short double-helical elements and three loops (D, anti-codon, and T loops). Lineage: Bacteria; Pseudomonadati; Balneolota; Balneolia; Balneolales; Balneolaceae. RNAcentral also lists the same sequence under 1 other name. The record is from RNAcentral.
GCGGGGAUAGCUCAAUCUGACAGAGCGUCCCGGAACCACCGGGAAGGUUGCAGGUUUAAAUCCUGUUCCCCGCU